ACGAUGGAGCUGCGGUUCGCUCUCUGAGGCCGUGGGACGGUGACUGCGUUGGGCGUGGACGCUCCUAGCUCGCUCCCUCGGCGGCUCCUGGGACCCCAAGAUGGCGGCGGCGCUGAGGCGGCUGCGGGCGCUGGGCCGGCGGCGGCGGCGGCCACUUUCACUCACUGAGAGGAGCGGAGCAGGGACACGGGGAGCCAUGGCGGGGGGGAGGAGAGGCGCCAUAGCCAGGCCAGAACAAUCGAGCCGCUACUCAGCGGGCUUACCGCUGCCCCGCCCACGCUCACUGCUCGUCGCCCGCCCGUGGCCGUCCGCAGUGCAGCUGCGGUCGGCCUCGUGCAGCUCGCACCCCGCCGCUACAGCCUGACGCCCCGCGCGGACCGGGGUUCGGGGGGAGAUCCUGAUCCAUGCCAUCUGAGUGCAGAUUGGUCGGGGCUGGGACUGCCGAAGAUUGCCGAAAGGCGGCGGGGAGGAGGAGGAGGAUGUCAUCGCUAGAGUGAGCAAGCAGAUCUCGCGGGAGCAAAUGUCGCGAGACCUCUCCAGCUUCCAGAGGCUACUUGCAUUCCUCGGCUCCUGGCUCCCUUCUUCCAUCUAAAAGCCAGCAAUGAUGAGUAACACAGCGACUCUACAAGGGGUGGGGAGGAAAAGAACUCACCUAAGUACUGAGGGAAACAGUAUCUUGACUGGAUACCUAAGAAUAAACCAACUGAACUGUACAUAAAUUCUGUGAUCCACAUCGUACACAGCAAAGGGACUCAGCCAUACAUUAUAUGUAUCCAUUCUCCCCCAGACUCCCCUCCCAUCCAAGCUGCCACGUAACAUUGAACAGAGUUUCCUGUGCUAUAUGGUUUUUUUCCUACUGCCUGGUGCUAGUUCCUCUGAAGUAGGCAGGGGAGCCCUGUGAGCCCUUUGUAAGACCAGGACCCCCAAUAUCUGGAAGACCUGUGAGCUGCUGGCCAGAACAAGAAACACCCACUGUCCCCCCCCGCACCGCAACUUGUGAGGUGAACCUUGGGUGAUUAUCGACCGAGGUUCCACGAGCUCUCCUCCUGGUAUCAGCACAGAAUACCAGCUGCCCCAGCG
Long non-coding RNA from Lagenorhynchus albirostris (white-beaked dolphin), 1080 nucleotides. RefSeq lists it as uncharacterized. NCBI's taxonomy places the organism in Eukaryota, Metazoa, Chordata, Mammalia, Artiodactyla, Delphinidae. The record is from RefSeq and is a predicted model, not a curated record. The transcript is spliced from 5 exons.